UGGGUAACCUGCCUGUAAGAUUGGGAUAACUCCGGGAAACCGGAGCUAAUACCGGAUAACAUUUUGAACCGCAAGGUUCGAAAUUGAAAGGUGGCUUUUGCUACCACUUACAGAUGGACCCGCGGCGCAUUAGCUAGUUGGUGAGGUAAUGGCUCACCAAGGCAACGAUGCGUAGCCAACCUGAGAGGGUGAUCGGCCACACUGGGACUGAGACACGGCCCAGACUCCUACGGGAGGCAGCAGUAGGGAAUCUUCCGCAAUGGACGAAAGUCUGACGGAGCAACGCCGCGUGAGUGAUGAAGGCCUUCGGGUCGUAAAGCUCUGUUGUUAGGGAAGAACAAGUACCGUUCAAAUAGGGCGGUACCAUGACGGUACCUAACCAGAAAGCCACGGCUAACUACGUGCCAGCAGCCGCGGUAAUACGUAGGUGGCAAGCGUUGUCCGGAAUUAUUGGGCGUAAAGGGCUCGCAGGCGGUUCCUUAAGUCUGAUGUGAAAGCCCACGGCUCAACCGUGGAGGGUCAUUG
Molecule: ribosomal RNA, 525 nt
Filed under: Bacillus halotolerans
Lineage: Bacteria; Bacillati; Bacillota; Bacilli; Caryophanales; Bacillaceae
Description: bacterial SSU rRNA
Rfam family: Bacterial small subunit ribosomal RNA
Source: RNAcentral